This 483-nucleotide ribosomal RNA is filed under the name uncultured bacterium. RNAcentral's name for it is "partial 16S ribosomal RNA". It matches the Rfam family "Bacterial small subunit ribosomal RNA", at positions 30 to 507 of the family's 1533-position model. The record is from RNAcentral.
AUUGAACGCUGGCGGCAGGCCUAACACAUGCAAGUCGAGCGGAUGAAGGGAGCUUGCUCCUGGAUUCAGCGGCGGACGGGUGAGUAAUGCCUAGGAAUCUGCCUGGUAGUGGGGGAUAACGUCCGGAAACGGGCGCUAAUACCGCAUACGUCCUGAGGGAGAAAGUGGGGGAUCUUCGGACCUCACGCUAUCAGAUGAGCCUAGGUCGGAUUAGCUAGUUGGUGGGGUAAAGGCCUACCAAGGCGACGAUCCGUAACUGGUCUGAGAGGAUGAUCAGUCACACUGGAACUGAGACACGGUCCAGACUCCUACGGGAGGCAGCAGUGGGGAAUAUUGGACAAUGGGCGAAAGCCUGAUCCAGCCAUGCGCGUGUGUGAAGAAGGUCUUCGGAUUGUAAAGCACUUUAAGUUGGGAGGAAGGGCAGUAAGUUAAUACCUUGCUGUUUUGACGUUACCAACAGAAUAAGCACCGGCUAACUUCGUG